Molecule: ribosomal RNA, 253 nt
Filed under: uncultured bacterium
Lineage: Bacteria
Description: partial 16S ribosomal RNA
Rfam family: Bacterial small subunit ribosomal RNA
Source: RNAcentral
UACGUAGGGGGCAAGCGUUGUCCGGAAUUAUUGGGCGUAAAGAGCGUGUAGGCGGCCAGGUAGGUCUGCUGUGAAAACUCGAGGCUCAACCUCGAGACGUCGGCGGAAACCAUCUGGCUAGAGUCCGGAAGAGGAGAGUGGAAUUCCUGGUGUAGCGGUGAAAUGCGCAGAUAUCAGGAAGAACACCCGUGGCGAAGGCGGCUCUCUGGGACGGUACUGACGCUGAGACGCGAAAGCGUGGGGAGCGAACAGG